Molecule: long non-coding RNA, 483 nt
Filed under: Mytilus galloprovincialis (Mediterranean mussel)
Lineage: Eukaryota; Metazoa; Mollusca; Bivalvia; Mytilida; Mytilidae
Source: RNAcentral
UAUUGCACAAGGUCAUGUUUUUCUCUGGCUGUUUAUGACGUCUUUACACUAAAUCCAUUGGAUGUUGGAUGUGUACGGAUUGAUAGUUUAGUCUUAGUUGCAUGAUUUUUUUAUUAGUUGUUAGUGGCUUUGAACUAGCUGUCAGAUAACUGCGAGUACUCUCAGAUCUGUUCAUUGUGUCUUUUUGUGUCGGGAUGUAUAAGUACCGGGCCACGUCCACUUGUAUUUUUGUCCAUCUGAUGAGUUAAGCCUUUUUCAACUGAUUUUUAUAGUUCGUUCUUAUGUUGUACUGUUAUACCACUGUCCCAUGUUAGGGGGAGGGUUGGGAUCCCGCUAACAUGUUUAACCCCGCCACAUUAUGUAUGUGCCUGUCAUAAGUCAGGAGCCUGUAAUUCAGUGGUUGCCGUUUGUGUAUGUGUCACAUAUUUGUUUUUCGUUCAUUUUUUUUACAUAAAUAAGGCCGUUAGUUUUCUCGUUUGAAUU